RNAcentral lists this ribosomal RNA (323 nucleotides) under uncultured bacterium. RNAcentral describes it as "bacterial SSU rRNA". It matches the Rfam family "Bacterial small subunit ribosomal RNA", at positions 1190 to 1510 of the family's 1533-position model. The record is from RNAcentral.
UCAUCAUGCCCCUUAUGACCUGGGCUACACACGUGCUACAAUGGCUGGUACAACAGAAGUAGCGAGCCGGUGACGGCAAGCUAAUCUCUUAAAGCCAUUCUCAGUUCGGAUUGUAGGCUGCAACUCGCUACAUGAAGUCGGAAUCGCUAGUAAUCGCAGAGAUCAGCACGCCGCGGUGAAUACGUUCCCGGGCCUUGUACACACCGCCCGUCACACCAUGAGAGUUUGUAACACCCGAAGUCGGUGGGGUAACCUUUAGGAGCAGCCGCUAAGGUGGGAUAGAUGAUUGGGGUGAAGUCGUAACAAGGUAGCCCGUAUCAGAA